UACUCCUCCCACAAGUUCAGGCCAAUUGGCCUUCCAACAUAUAAUAUAUAUAUAUAUAUAUAUAUAUAUAUAUAUAUAUAUAUAUAUAUAUAUAUAUGGCUUGGCCUGUAAUUGUGGGAGGCACC
RNAcentral lists this microRNA precursor (125 nucleotides) under Pelobates cultripes (western spadefoot toad). The record is from RNAcentral. Lineage: Eukaryota; Metazoa; Chordata; Amphibia; Anura; Pelobatidae.